RNAcentral lists this long non-coding RNA (1632 nucleotides) under Homo sapiens (human). RNAcentral describes it as "HSALNT0266470". The record is from RNAcentral. Lineage: Eukaryota; Metazoa; Chordata; Mammalia; Primates; Hominidae.
GGGCAGAGACGCUCCUCACUUCCUAGACGGGAUGGCGGCCGGGAAGAGGCGCUCCUCACUUUCCAGACUGGGCAGCCAGGCAGAGGGGCUCCUCACGUCCCAGACGAUGGGCGGCCAGGCAGAGAUGCUCCUCACUUCCUAGACGGGGUGGUGGCCGGGCAGAGGCUGCAAUCUCGGCACUUUGGGAGGCCAAGGCAGGCGGCUGGGAGGUGGAGGUUGUAGCGAGCCGAGAUCACGCCACUGCAUUCAGCCUGGGCACCAUUGAGCACUGAGUGAACCAGACUCCGUCUGCAAUCCCGGCACCUCGCGAGGCCGAGGCUGGCGGAUCACUCGCGGUUAGGAGCUGGAGACCAGCCCGGCCAACACAGCGAAACCCCGUCUCCACCAAAAAAGUAAGAAAACCAGUCAGGCGUGGCAGCGCGCGCCUGCAAUCGCAGGCACUCGGCAGGCUGAGGCAGUAGAAUCAGGCAGGGAGGUUGCAGUGAGCCGAGAUGGCAGCAGUACAGUCCAGCUUCGGCUGGGCAUCAGAGGGAGACCGUGGAAAGAGAGGAAGAGGGAGACCGUGGGCCGUGGUGAGAGUGAGAGGGAGAGGGAGAGCUCUUUUUAGCUUUUAUAGCUUUUGUUGUGUCUAAGGAAUCUUUGCCUAACCCGAGUUCACAAAGAUUUUCUUGUAUGUUUUUUUCUGGAAUUUCUGUAGUUUUUAGAUUUACAUGUAGAUCUAAUAUUUUAAUACAUGGUAUGAGAUAUUAAGGAUCCAAGUUCAGUUUUUUGCAUAUGAAUAUCCAGCUGUUUUAGUACCAGUUGUUGAAAGGACUAUCAUUCCUCUACCGGAUUGUCCUUGUACCUUUGUCAAAAAUCAGUUGUUUAUAUAUCUGUGGGUCUGUUUCUGGACUCUGUUCCAUUGAUAUGUUUACCUUAUCUUUAUGCCUGUACCACACUGUUUUACUAUAACUUGAAGUGAGGCAGUUUUAGUCCUCUAGCUAUAUUCGUUUUCAAAGUUGUUUUAGGUAAUCUAGGUUCUUUGCAUUUCCAAAUAAAUUCUAGAAUUAGCUUCUCAAUUUCUUAAAAAAAAAAAAAAGCACGUUGGGAUUUUGAUUGGGACUACAUUGAAUCUGUUUGGGGGAAGAGCUGACGUCUUAACAGUUUAGGAGAGAUACAAAUUAACAAAUUAAAUUAGUGAUUUUAUUUUAAUUAAUGUUUCUCAGUAGUAUUUUUGUGUUUUUCCUGUACAGGUUUUAUGUCUUUUGUCAAAUUUUUCUCUUAAUAUUUCACAAUUUUUGAUACUGUUUUAAUUUUUUCAGAAUUUCAGUAUUUGGUCAUUGCUACUCUAUAGACAUGAACCACCGUCCCUGGCCUCCGUUGGAUUUUCUGUACAUCAUUUGCAAAUAAGGACAAUUUUACUUCUUUCCAAUUAUCACUUGUUUUACUUAUUUACUUAUUAUCAGUAUUUUCUGUGUUGUCACUGCUUCAGAGAUUCUGUCCUUUUCAAUUUUCUUUUGUUAUCUUCUUGGUCUUAGAUAUUAUCAUAUUGUUGUUUGUUUUUUUUUUUUAAUUAGUUAAUGGCUUUCUGUGAGGUAUUCUCUCAGUCUAUGUUGUCUUCAGAAAACACUGGUUUCAUUUUGUUCAGGGCCA